RNAcentral lists this ribosomal RNA (252 nucleotides) under uncultured bacterium. RNAcentral describes it as "partial 16S ribosomal RNA". It matches the Rfam family "Bacterial small subunit ribosomal RNA", at positions 524 to 776 of the family's 1533-position model. The record is from RNAcentral.
UACGGAGGAUGCGAGCGUUAUCCGGAUUUAUUGGGUUUAAAGGGUGCGUAGGCGGGAUGCCAAGUCAGCGGUAAAAAUGCGGUGCUCAACGCCGUCGAGCCGUUGAAACUGGCGUUCUUGAGUGGGCGAGAAGUAUGCGGAAUGCGUGGUGUAGCGGUGAAAUGCAUAGAUAUCACGCAGAACUCCGAUUGCGAAGGCAGCAUACCGGCGCCCUACUGACGCUGAGGCGCGAAAGCGUGGGUAUCAAACAGG